UACAUGCACAUAGAAAACCGGCCUAUCAAAUAAAAUUCAUUCCACUCCGGUACAGUAGGUGGCGACAUUCCCCUUUUCAUGUUGGCAAUCUUCAAGUUAGCUCAUACGGAGCCUAAAAGUCUCCUCCCUUUCCGGUUGGCUCAUGGGUCCCCGGAGGAACGAAAAAAUGAAUGCAAGUCAACGGGGCUAAAAGAGCAGUUUUCUGAUCCGCUCUGCCUUACGCCUUGGAUCACACAUAUGUUGUACUGCAAUUUAAAUGAAAAGUAAUGAUGGAUGUUUUGACCAUGCCAGUCACGUACUUAGAAAUUUAUCCGCUUGUAAAAGUUUGUAAAUAGCAUGACUACAAAUCGGACAUCUCCUCUCCCCUAGGGUAGCUGCUACUUACCACAUGGCCAGAUGUACGGUGGUUCUUUCCAUCUGAAGGAAAGAUUUGAAGUUCGCUGAACUUACAGCCAUUUUCUCUCUGUUUUCUCCGUGUCUGGUUCGACAAGGUCACUUCUGAGUACUUAAAGAGCAAGUAACGUCUAAAUUAACUUUUUUUUGCUGAUGAACUGUAUAAAUGAGUGUCUAAUAGUGUUUUAAAUGUGUGCAUUCUUUAUUUUAGCAUUUUGGUGCAUUUUCUUUAAAAAUUAAAAAUUCUGUCUAAAAACCACAGUAAUGCGCCACCUUCAGCUGAAAACAUAGAAUUUGAGUCAUUUUGAAUAAAUUUUAGCCAAUGGCUAAAGAGUAAAGUACUACGUAAACCAGUAGAGUACUACGUAGCAGCUCCGUGCCAAAGUUAUAAAAGCAACGAGAGUCUCGGCCACGCCCUGUGGCGCGUGGGAGUUGGAUUUGCAAGCGAGCGUAGGAGGUCAGCGGUAGUUCAGCAUUAGCAUAUAGCAUUAGCAUAUCCUAGUCUUAGCAUAUCUUUUAGUGUUAUAAAUACUUAUUUAGUGUUAGCUUGGCUGUUGGAUAUUGUAGUUUAGUUAGUGUUUGGCUGUUAGUGUAAUUGGGAAAGUAUUUCGGGUUUAGUGUUCAUAUCGUCUUAGUAUUGGUGAGAUGGUGUAAUGUAGUAUGCUUGCGGUGACUCUGUGGGCAUUUUACCCGCGAUUCUGCACGUCUCCGUUUGAAGAGGGAGGCUGCCCACCGUGGCUCUUCCGCGAUUUAGAUGCAGCCCACCGACUCUGCUCCCCCACCACGGCGGGCUCCAGUCUGAGGUGAGUCAGCUAAAUAAACGUUUUAACAUCUUCUAAAGACAAUUCCCUACCUAAAUGCAAAGUCUGAGAGACGUGGUUCACUUCCUUUAGCUAGUCAGUCGGCAAUUCUGCAACAGUGGCUCUAACUGACGCAGCACUAGUUGACAGACAGCAUUACAGCGUGAAAUCCAGCUUGUGACCCGGUUCUGUGAGGAAUUCUGUUCAGGAGGUCGCAUUUCAGGCUCUCCACAUCAUGUGUGACUGACUUUUACGUUAUAACAACGAUCACACACUAGGAAUGUUAUAAAGCGCCUAUAUAGGAGAUUCUUUUGUAUGUUAUCUGACUUUAUAAACUCCCAACAACAAUGUGCUUCUAUUUUUUUUUUUUCAGGCUAAAUCUACCCAAGACACUGGCUGUCAGACUGAUUUAGCUGCAAGAAUGCACUUGUCCAGGCUGAUGUGAAGCCUUCCCUGUAGCAAAGCCAGCCAGAAUGGAGUUCACAGCCGCAGUGUGUCUGGUGACCCACGGUGACCAUGAUGAAAAUUCAUCUUCCAGAAAGUCCCAGAGCGUCCAGACCCCCUGAAAAGACCAAGAUGUAAGGUGUCUGCUGUUGAUUCCAGCUUCCACCUCAGUGACAGUGCAAGCUCAGUGAACUGUUCAAGGACACUCAGCAAAAUAUGGACUCUACACCAUGAGGCAUGCACACAUUAAUACUCUAUAAGAGCACAUAAGGUGAGCAACACCACAUAUUGUACACUGUCCUGAAUUUGUUUUCUUUCUGCAUCUCAUUAGCCUGGCUGAUCACCUGAUAACUCCUGUCAUCUGGUUAUGACAGCAUGAGGAUGUCCUCACACACCUGUAACCUAUCAGCUCAUCCUGCUGAAUAGAGAGAGAAGAGACAACACCACAUCUCCUGUUCCUGGAAAGCCUUCAGCCAUCCUUCGAUGACUGAGAACCUCCAUCAGCUCUGUCUCCUGUCUGCCUACAAUUAUUAUAAUAAAUAUUGUGUUUGACAA
Non-coding RNA from Nothobranchius furzeri (turquoise killifish), 2192 nucleotides. NCBI's taxonomy places the organism in Eukaryota, Metazoa, Chordata, Actinopteri, Cyprinodontiformes, Nothobranchiidae. The record is from RefSeq and is a predicted model, not a curated record.